This 1940-nucleotide ribosomal RNA is filed under the name human gut metagenome. Its description in RNAcentral is "bacterial LSU rRNA". It matches the Rfam family "Bacterial large subunit ribosomal RNA", at positions 3 to 1973 of the family's 2925-position model. The record is from RNAcentral.
UCAAGCUAAUAAGAGCAUAAGGUGAAUGCCUUGGCAUCAAGAACCGAUGAAGGACGUAAAAAGCUGCGAUAAGCUUCGGGGAGGCGCACAUAGCCAACGAUCCGGAGAUUUCCGAAUGGGGAAACCUAGCUGAGAAAAGCUCAGUUGGCGUACAGUGAAUCAAUAGCUGUGCGUAGGGAACGCUCUGAACUGAAACAUCUAAGUAGGAGCAGGAAGAGAAAGAAACAUCGAUUUCCUAAGUAGUGGCGAACGAACGGGAAACAGGCCAAACCGAGAUACAUGUAUUUCGGGGUUGUGGACUACAUCAUGUGAUGGAGGUAAGGUAGUAGAAUUGUUUUGGGAAAGCAAGCCAAAGAAAGUGAAAGCCUUGUAUACGAAACCUAAAGACCCACAGUAGUAUCCAGAGUACAUCGGGACACGUGAAACCCUGAUGGAAGCCGGAGGGACCACCCUCCAAGCCUAAAUAUUCCUUGAUGACCGAUAGCGAAGAAGUACUGUGAAGGAAAGGUGAAAAGAACCCCGGGAGGGGAGUGAAAGAGAACCUGAAACCUUAUGUUUACAAACAGUCGAAGUUUUUCGGAACGACGGCGUACUUUUUGUAGAACGGUCCGGCGAGUUGCAGUGACAUGCGAGGUUAAGGAGUACAGCUCCGGAGCCGAAGGGAAACCAAGUCUUAACUGGGCGUCUAGUAUGUUAAUGCAGACCCGAAACCGGGUGACCUAUCCAUGGGCAGGUUGAAGUUACCGUAAAAGGUAAUGGAGGACCGAACUCACAUCUGUUGAAAAAGGUGGAGAUGACCUGUGGAUAGCGGAGAAAUUCCAAUCGAACUCGGAGAUAGCUGGUUCUCCUCGAAAUAGCUUUAGGGCUAGCCUUGAGGUAAAGUCUAAUGGAGGUAAAGCACUGAUUGGACGCGGGUCCCCAAAAGGAUACCAACUUCUAUCAAACUCAGAAUGCCAUAUAGAUAUACUCAGGAGUCAGACUAUGUGAGAUAAGUUUCAUAGUCAAAAGGGAAAGAGCCCAGACCGACAGCUAAGGUCCCAAAGUGUGUGUUAAGUGGAAAAGGAUGUUAGGUUUCUAAGACAACUAGGAUGUUGGCUCAGAAGCAGCCACUCAUUUAAAGAGUGCGUAACAGCUCACUAGUCGAGAGGUCUAGCGCCGAAAAUGUCCGGGGCUAAAACACACCACCGAAGCUACGGAAUUACCUAUGGUAAUUGGUAGAGGAGCAUUCUGUAAGGACGAAGCACAAUUGAAAGAGAGUGUGGACGAAACAGAAGAGAGAAUGCCGGAAUGAGUAGCGAGAUAUAUGUGAGAAUCAUAUAGGUCGAAUGUCUAAGGUUUCCUGGGUAAAGCUGAUCUGCUCAGGGUAAGUCGGGACCUAAGGUGAGGGCGAGAGCCGUAAUCGAUGGACAACAGGUAGAAAUUCCUGUACUACGUAUAAUCAGAACUGUGGGGACGCAGGAGGAUAGGAAAACCGGAGAAUGGAAAAAUCCGGCUAAGUACAAAGGUGUGAGCAAUAGGCAAAUCCGUUGCUAUUAGCUGAAGUACGAAUGGGAGCGAAGAAAAGUAGCGAAGUUUCUGAAUCCACACUGUCAAGAAAAGCCGCUAUUGCGUUAUACGUACCCGUACCGCAAACCGACACAGGUAGACGAGGAGAAAAUCCACAGACCGACGGGAGAAGUGUUGUUAAGGAACUCGGCAAAAUGACCCCGUAACUUAGGGAUAAGGGGAGCCAACGCAAGUUGGUCACAGAAAAGAGGCUCAAGCGACUGUUUAGCAAAAACAUAGGUCUAUGCGAAACCGUAAGGUGAUGUAUAUGGGCUGACACCUGCCCGGUGCUGGAAGGUCAAAAGGAGAGGUUAGCGUAAGCGAAGCUUUGAAUUCAAGCCCCAGUAAACGGCGGCCGUAACUAUAACGGUCCUAAGGUAGCGAAAUUCCUUGUC